CCGACAUUAAAAUAAAUAAAGAAAUAAAAUAAAAAUAAACUACUGCAAGUGAACGGCGAGGGCUCAGAAAAUCCAAGCGUCCAAUUCUUCCAACUUAGUUAUGUGCACGCCUGGAACAAGUAUAAUGUGGAUCAAGUCUCAGCAAAACCUCACCUAUUGUUAUUAUUAAACGCACAGCGAGGAGAAGACUUGUGAUUGCAGGUAAAAAAAAAAGUAUUCAGCAUUUCACAUUUGUUCGACAGCCCCGAACAAGGAUGUUUUUGGAGUUGUUGAAAAUAACAUCAAAUGCACACAUCACGAUGCAUUUUCCUCAUCAACAUUAGGAUUAACUGCACCAGAAAUAAAUGUUUCAUCAAAGUUUUCAAUUUUUUAAAUAAAAUAUUCUAGCAUUUUGCACAAGGAGCACAUCGUUCAAACAAACGUGCAUGUGCAAAUUCUGAAUGUGAAAAGUAAUCAGAUUCAAGUUUACAUGGGUGUUAUUCUUUUAUUUAAUGGAUUAUUAAUAAAAGGAUUACCCACUUGAAUCGCUUGAUAGAAAUCUCACUAUGAUUGUCUUCAAGAGGUGUGUGUGUGUAGCUGUAUCUAUAUAAAUAUCUAGAUAGAGAUUUAAGCUGCAUGUAGCUAUUACAGUUGUUAGCGCUGGAAGUGUAAUUCCUCCCCAGUCCUGCGGUGGCGCUGUAACCUGCAUCUUCACUCACAGCGCGUGCUUUCCUAGUACAGGCGUGCGCGCGCUACAUAUAUCCCCAGCGAGAAGAGAAAAUGGAGGAAGUCAUUACGUUGACCGCGUUGCAGACUACCUAUAUUCCUAAAUAUCUCGUUGUGAUGUGAAUGGCUCAGGAACUGCUCGUUAUUAAACACUAUUCCCAGUUCAGCAGAGCCUGAACGGCACCCAAACAGCUGAAGUCAAUGAGGGAUUUACGAAAUGAUUAUUCCUUAAAGAUGGGGCCGUACCCACUUUAUUUGGACCAUUUUGCGCCUCUGGAUCACAACCUGUAAGUAUGAUUGGUUAUUCAUGUAUAUAUUUUCUACUGAGUGUUCCAAAUGCGUAGUUUUGUGGUGUUUAUAUGUGUACAGCCAGUGUACUGCUGUAGGCCUCUGUUAACCGGCUAACUCACAUUAUUGCCAAACUACCUACAAACCUACCACUGAGAAACAUUCUGUUCUCAUCGUGCUUGUGAUGGUGGUUCGGGUUGAUCUUCCGACGUAUCAGACUCGGGGCUCAAAUUGAUGAGGUAAAUCCGACAACAUUAUUACUGAGCUGAAAUGAUAUAAGAUAUGAUAGUGAGGGUUUCAUUUCCAACGCGUUGUGAGCGGUAUAACAAUCACAACAGACUUGGGCAUCUGACCAGUCAGAGCAGAGUAGACUCUCUGUAAGGAGGAGUUUAGUGUGAACAGAUCCUUGAGCGAGUCGUUUGUAACCCUUUGAACAAGAGGUGAUGCUGCAAUGUAAAUUAUGAGAAAAUUUGUGUUUUUUGACCUUGGAUGCAUGUAAACCUUUUGUUUGAGAUUUCUAAUACAAAAUUAGGCACUUUUAUACAGCAUAAUAAGGGCACUUUAAAGAAAAGGUAUUUAAAAAAAAAAAAAAAAACAAAACCUGUUUGCACUAUUUGCUGUCAGUAUUUUUACACCUCUGCAUUUUCCAAAGUUCAUUCAAAGAAAGUGUUGAAAAAUUAGUUUAUUUGUAAAUGCGCUAUGUCAGAACAAAAAUGAAAUCAUAAUCACGAAUCGUCAAAACGUUGAAUUUUAUUAAUUUUUUUUGCGAUAUCGCCAAGCCCAAGAUCGCAGCGAUCUAAUUCAAUGAUGAACUAAUUAAACUAAUAAAAUUCUUGCUCAACAAGAAUUUCUACACUUUUAUUGCAGCGGGAGCUGAUGUACAUCUCAUAUGCCUCAUGUUUUAAAGAAGUAUAAGGUUUAAUUAGGAAACAUGCAUCAGUUUUCCAAGAAAGCUUGCAUUUCGACCUCAUUAUCGUGGACACUUUGAUGAAGGGUGGCACAAUAAGUUUAUAAUUUUAUACUGUAGCGUUUAUAUCAAUCAUUUUUCUAUCUGUGUGUUACUGUAAUAUGUAUAUUGUUUGUUGCUUCUUUGGAUGAGCAAAAAGGAGUUCAUCAUUGACUGAUGAAUUUUAGCUUCUGGGUGCAGAUAUGAUAAAAUGCGUUAUAGUGGACUGUGUUCCACUUUCAGCAUGUACGCGUCGUAUGUGUGUGUAAUAUAUAAUUAGUACAUAUAUUUUUGGUGUUCACUCAAAUAUCAAUUACAGAACUGUUCCCUUAAGUAAAUCAACUAAAAUGUUCAAAAUAAAUACUCGUCAACCUGUACAUGGACCACGCCACCUUAACUGAAGUGGUGAAAAGCUCAACUCUGCAUUGUAUGUGUUGUGCUUCUCUCUUAACUAUGGAUAAUUCUGUUUGAAAUCUAGCAAGUGACUCCAUCAUGGAGGAGAUUGUGAGCCCUGAGCUAGCUCAAAGUCCUGAGCCUGAGUCCAGCCAGGAUUUGGAUUCCAGUUCACAAGGUACCACUGACCUUGGAGCGCUGUAUGAAUGAGAGCUUCAUUUACCUGGUUCGCAGCAGCUUGGUGGAACUUUAAUCUGGCUCUGAAUCAGUUCUACUAUUGAACUUAUUGUUGCAAACUGGUGUCUCAAUUCAAAUCUUGCACUCUAAAUCGAUUCGGGGAAUCAUUUCAAUUCUGCUAUUGGAUCUUGGCCUCGCCGAAUUCUGUAUGGCGAAUCUAGCCGAUGAAUGCCACUUGCUUAGUCACGUUUGCUUUUGCCAAAUUCAGCUUGAUUUUCCUUUUUGAUUCUUUCAAAGUUAAGGCAAAAAAAUUUCAAUGUUUCUAAUUUCCUUGCCA
Molecule: long non-coding RNA, 2846 nt
Organism: Ictalurus punctatus (channel catfish)
Lineage: Eukaryota; Metazoa; Chordata; Actinopteri; Siluriformes; Ictaluridae
Source: Ensembl